GGAGCUGAAGCAACAAUUUAUAAAGCAGCAAGAUGUGAAAGGUGUUGUGGUGGAUGGCUUCCCUCAGACAUUGGCCAGGUGUUAACGUUUGAGGAGCAGAUCGGCUCCCCAGAUCUUGUUGUCUUUUUGGCCUGCCCCAGCCAGAAGCUCCGGCAGAGGCUAGAGAAGCGUGCCCAGGAGCAAGGCCGCCUGGACGACAACCCCCAUGCCAUUGGGCGCAGGCUGGAGACAUUCAAGCAGAAUGUGCCACUGAUAGUGAAGUAUUAUCAAGAAAAGGGAACCAUUGUCCAGUUUGCUGCAGACAGAGAGGAGGAGAUUUUUGCAGACAUUGGCUCCUGUGUUCAGCAGCAGCUGCACCUGGAAAGGAAGGAGUUUCCAGAGUCUCCAUUGCUGGCACCGUUGGACAAUCUGUUUAGCCCCAGCCAAGACUCUCCAAAGGAAGAACAGAA
Podarcis raffonei (Aeolian wall lizard) is the source of this 449-nucleotide long non-coding RNA. RefSeq lists it as uncharacterized. The record is from RefSeq and is a predicted model, not a curated record. The transcript is spliced from 4 exons. NCBI's taxonomy places the organism in Eukaryota, Metazoa, Chordata, Lepidosauria, Squamata, Lacertidae.